RNAcentral lists this long non-coding RNA (2582 nucleotides) under Homo sapiens (human). RNAcentral describes it as "non-protein coding lnc-APOBEC4-5:1". Lineage: Eukaryota; Metazoa; Chordata; Mammalia; Primates; Hominidae. The record is from RNAcentral.
UUAGUACAUUAUAUUACAAAAGAUUACGUGAAAAAUGGUGCUCCCUCUUAUCCCAGGGACAGAGCAAGAGGAGUUUAGGUGAGCUUUCAGGAAGAAUUCAUUGACAGAAUUGUCAGACACUGAAUGGGGUUCCAAGGUAAGUGGUGGAAUGGCUCCAUUAAACUUUGUUGCUGGGCAGAAGAGUGGCUUCCUUUCUGCUCUGUGAAUUACUGAAAUGCCCUAGUAUUUUGCUUCCACCCAUGGAUGUGCUAAUAUGUGAGCUGAUCUUUGUUCAGUAGCCUCUGUGACACCAGCUGUGUUGCUUCCAAUCCAAAGCCAUCCAUCCUCCCAUCUGCCCUCAAAAAGAGUGGAAAGAAUGAAGAAUCGUCUCUGAGGAUUGCCUUCUCUUUAUUUUUAAUUUAUGGAGUUUGUUUUUAUGCCCGUCCCUGUAAUUCUCCAGCCUGGCUUCUCUGGAACAGGUGCUUUAGUAAACUUACCAUGUCUGAGCAAUCCUAGGGCCCACAGAGCACUAGCUCUGCCCCCAUGGACCUGGCAAGGCUUUGAUGGGGGUUUCCUAUUCCACGGGUGGCUGGGUGGAUGUCUGGGCUCUUACUAGUGGGGGAAUUUGAUUUUCAAAGUGGAGUGGGCAGCUCUCUCUCUCUCUCUGUUCUUAGAUGCUUGGAAAUUAAUCAGCGACAGUUUCUUCUCCCAAAAGGAAAUGAGAAGUUUGGAACAGACCCCCAGACAGGAGUUCAGUUGUCCAGGCAUUUUGAUGGUGUGGCCUGAAGGGCUUUAACUGCUUUUAAAAAUUGCUAGCAUAAAUUGUGAAGACUUGAAGGGGAUGAUAUUGUUGCUCAGGCCUAGCUCAGGGGAGGAAACCAUGAGCAGAGUUGAGUGCAAGGGACAGAGUGGUGCAAGCCUGUUGAGAAUCCGAGGGGAGAGGAAAGAGGCAGCUUCUAGCGCACCACACACGGAGCAAAGUCCUGGUGCUCAGAGCACAGUCUGGGAGAGAAGUGCAAGGAGUGGGGAGAAGAGACUAAUGCAAGCCCAUCGCUGGAGACAGUGAUGCCAGUGCACAGGCCAAGAAAGAGGAGAGGGAACCAAUGGGGAAAAUAGUGUGGUAGGAGGGAGGCUUCAAAUGGAAGUGGUGACAGCCUUGUCCUUAGAGUUUUAUCCUUUUAAGUCUGCAACUAUGGGAGAGAUUGAGUUGGUGUUGAGUUGAACCGCUUGCACAGGAACAAGUGAAAUGUCCAGUGCCCCCAAUGCUUGGGGAAGAGCAAUAACUCACAAUCAAGCAUCUCCAUUGUCCCUGGACAGGGCCUCUGGAACCAGAGUCGAGAACCCCUUCCUGUAGGAAAGACACAGGGACUGUGGACAGACACAGAAGGGGGUACCCAGGAGCAGGGAGCAGAGUUUCUGGUGAGAAAAAUCCACCCAAGGAGGUGGGGACUCAUGGGAAUCGCUGCCAGCUCUGUGUGGUGGCCGAUCUCUCAGGCCCUGAGAGGGACACUCCGGCCCAGGGCUGCUUGACAUCAGCCAGCCUCUCCUGUCACAGCCCGUCCAGCGAGAGUGCCCACUGCAAAGCCUGCAGGCUGGCCAGGGAGGCUGCGCCGGGCCCACAUCCCCGUCUCUGUGAGCCUUUUUGGACCCCAGCCGUGGAACAAGCUGCAGGAGCCCUGGACGCCCUCCAGCUCCGUGAGUCAGUCUCUCCCCAGAGCAGCAAGCAGGCUUAGCUUUUCGCAGGGUGCCGUUCCACACGUGGAAGCCCCACCUCUAAGAGUUUCACGUCUGGACCAUUUGGCUCCUCCCGGGAGGAGGUUGGAGGGCUUCUUUGAAGACAUGACUUCCCUUAGGCCAGAAGCUUCCCAGGAAUAACAGCAACUAACUCUUGUAUCAUGCACCAAAGUGAACCGCACUUUCCCUACGUGUGCUGUGUAGUUUAAUACAGCAUGAACCUCAAGAAGUAGGAACUAUUCAUUAAUCUCUAUCUUUCAGAUAAGGCAAAGAGCUAAGGGAAGCAACUUGCCUAAGGUAGUAAGUGGCCUGGGAGUCAGACCGAGGCAGUCAGAUCUCACCAAACUGCAUCCACUUCCAAGCUGCUGGGGGAUAAUGUGUCUCAUUUCUUGUUUUCUCAGUAAAAUUUAAUGUUUUAAUCUCUCACUCUUGCACUCUGUCUCACCACACACACACACAGCCUGAUACAUAAAGCUGGCACUUCUAACCCAUGUCUGUCUCCCCUGUGAAACCUCAUAUACUGAUUAUUCAGCUGGUCAUACUGCAAACUCUCAGAUAACAUAUUUCUGCAGACUUGGAUGUUAGAUACUGAAUAAAUGAGGAUCAGAAAUCGAUGUCAAAGGGCAAGCUAACAGUCUCAUUUAGAAUGCUUCUCCCAUUUCAAAACUGGUGCCUUGAUUUUUUUUUUUUUUUUUUAUGGCAGGAACAAUUCAGAAACAGCUUAAAUCAUUCAGUCUUCUUCUUCUUUUUUUUUUUUUUUAACUUGCUGCAUUGGUAACCCUUUUCAUUCUUGUGUAAGAAAUUGGAACUGUAGCACAUAAUGAUGCUUUGGUAUGAAAUAAUGGUAGGAAUAAAAAUGAUUUCUUCUG